GACGAACGCUGGCGGCGUGCUUAACACAUGCAAGUCGAACGGAAAGGCGAUGCUUUUGCGGCGUGCUCGAGUGGCGAACGGGGGAGUAACACGCGAGUAAAAUGCCCUUGACAUUGGGAUAACUUCAGGAAACUGGGGCUAAUACAGGAUAGGAGCUCCUGCUGCAUGGUGGGGGUUGGUAAGAUUCGGCGGUUGGGGAUGGACUCGCUGCUUACCCGCUUGUUUGGGGGGUAGUGGUGUACCAAGUGUUUGACGGGUAGCCGGCCUGGGAGGGUGACCGGCCUCAUGGGGACUGAGAUACGCACCAGUAUGCUACGGGAGGCAGUAGUCGGGAGUCUGGCGGAACGGGCGCGAGCCUGAUGCAGCAGCGCCCCGUUCGUGAUGACGGCCUAUGGGUUGUAAACCGCUUUCGCCGUAGACGAAGCGUGAGUGACGGUAACGGGUAAAGAAGCACCGGCUAACUACGUG
RNAcentral lists this ribosomal RNA (468 nucleotides) under uncultured bacterium. RNAcentral describes it as "partial 16S ribosomal RNA". It matches the Rfam family "Bacterial small subunit ribosomal RNA", at positions 28 to 507 of the family's 1533-position model. The record is from RNAcentral.